This 1438-nucleotide ribosomal RNA is filed under the name uncultured organism. Its description in RNAcentral is "SSU rRNA". It matches the Rfam family "Bacterial small subunit ribosomal RNA". The record is from RNAcentral.
CAUUGAUGAACGCUAGCUACAGGCUUAACACAUGCAAGUCGAGGGGCAUCAGGAAGAAAGCUUGCUUUCUUUGCUGGCGACCGGCGCACGGGUGAGUAACACGUAUCCAACCUGCCCUUUACUCGGGGAUAGCCUUUCGAAAGAAAGAUUAAUACCCGAUAGCAUAAUGAUUCCGCAUGGUUUCAUUAUUAAAGGAUUCCGGUAAAGGAUGGGGAUGCGUUCCAUUAGGUUGUUGGUGAGGUAACGGCCCACCAAGCCUUCGAUGGAUAGGGGUUCUGAGAGGAAGGUCCCCCACAUUGGAACUGAGACACGGUCCAAACUCCUACGGGGGGCAGCAGUGAGGAAUAUUGGUCAAUGGGCGCUAGCCUGAACCAGCCAAGUAGCGUGAAGGAUGAAGGCUCUAUGGGUCGUAAACUUCUUUUAUAUAAGAAUAAAGUGCAGUAUGUAUACUGUUUUGUAUGUAUUAUAUGAAUAAGGAUCGGCUAACUCCGUGCCAGCAGCCGCGGUAAUACGGAGGAUCCGAGCGUUAUCCGGAUUUAUUGGGUUUAAAGGGAGCGUAGGUGGACUGGUAAGUCAGUUGUGAAAGUUUGCGGCUCAACCGUAAAAUUGCAGUUGAUACUGUCAGUCUUGAGUACAGUAGAGGUGGGCGGAAUUCGUGGUGUAGCGGUGAAAUGCUUAGAUAUCACGAAGAACUCCGAUUGCGAAGGCAGCUCACUGGACUGCAACUGACACUGAUGCUCGAAAGUGUGGGUAUCAAACAGGAUUAGAUACCCUGGUAGUCCACACAGUAAACGAUGAAUACUCGCUGUUUGCGAUAUACAGUAAGCGGCCAAGCGAAAGCAUUAAGUAUUCCACCUGGGGAGUACGCCGGCAACGGUGAAACUCAAAGGAAUUGACGGGGGCCCGCACAAGCGGAGGAACAUGUGGUUUAAUUCGAUGAUACGCGAGGAACCUUACCCGGGCUUAAAUUGCAGUGGAAUGAUGUGGAAACAUGUCAGUGAGCAAUCACCGCUGUGAAGGUGCUGCAUGGUUGUCGUCAGCUCGUGCCGUGAGGUGUCGGCUUAAGUGCCAUAACGAGCGCAACCCUUAUCUUUAGUUACUAACAGGUUAUGCUGAGGACUCUAGAGAGACUGCCGUCGUAAGAUGUGAGGAAGGUGGGGAUGACGUCAAAUCAGCACGGCCCUUACGUCCGGGGCUACACACGUGUUACAAUGGGGGGGUACAGAAGGCAGCUAGCGGGUGACCGUAUGCUAAUCCCAAAAUCCUCUCUCAGUUCGGAUCGAAGUCUGCAACCCGACUUCGUGAAGCUGGAUUCGCUAGUAAUCGCGCAUCAGCCACGGCGCGGUGAAUACGUUCCCGGGCCUUGUACACACCGCCCGUCAAGCCAUGGGAGCCGGGGGUACCUGAAGUACGUAACCGCAAGGAUCGUCCUAGGGUA